AACGAACGCUGGCGGCAUGCCUAACACAUGCAAGUCGAACGCGUGUAGCGAUACACGAGUGGCGGACGGGUGAGUAACGCGUGGGAACCUGCCCAAUGGUAGGGAAGUAACUGCGGGAAACUGCAGCUAAUACCCUAUGCUCCCUACGGGGGAAAGAUUCAUCGCCAUUGGAGGGGCCCGCGUCGGAUUAGCUAGUUGGCGGGGUAAUGGCCCACCAAGGCUACGAUCCGUAGCUGGCUGAGAGGAUGAUCAGCCACACUGGGACUGAGAUACGGCCCAGACUCCUACGGGAGGCAGCAGUGGGGAAUAUUGGACAAGUGGGGGAAACCCUGAUCCAGCAAUGCCGCGUGAGUGAAGAAGGCCUUAGGGUUGUAAAGCUC
RNAcentral lists this ribosomal RNA (380 nucleotides) under uncultured bacterium. RNAcentral's name for it is "bacterial SSU rRNA". It matches the Rfam family "Bacterial small subunit ribosomal RNA", at positions 29 to 433 of the family's 1533-position model. The record is from RNAcentral.